UGUUACUUGACGCGACAGGAGUAAAGAAGAUUAUAGAUAAAUAACAUAAAUCAAAGUAAAAGAAUACACAAAAUACCAGAAAUAUCAAAGAACAAAACUACAUAACCUGUCAAAAACAGUAAAUAGAAGUAUGUCAGUAUCUGCAUAAAACUAAAGGUCUAUUUUUAUCAUUCUUAUAAUGUAGAAGAAUUGACAUUUCGUUUACAACAUACAAUGAUACAAGAUAAAAUGUUGGCCAAAACAUCAAGGAUAGUUGGCCUGUGCUCGAUCGCCAAUUUUAUUAAUGCAGCGGACAGAGUUAUCAUGCCCAUCGCCAUUGUACCCAUGACUGAUCAGUUCAAGUGGAGCUUACACUGGCAAGGGUGGAUUCUAUCAGCUUUCGCUUUCGGCUACUUUACCAGUCAGGUAAUUGGUGCGUGUGCAGCCAGUAGGUUUGGAGGCAAGACGGUGCUACUGUUUGCUGUGUUCCUAUGGUCAGUGUCGACUUCUGUCACACCACUGCUGGCCACUUCCAUCCCUGCCCUCAUCUUCUGCAGGGUACUACUAGGCCUGGGGGAGGGUUUAGGCCUCCCUACGAUAUUCCAUAUAUUCGCACACAAUGUGCCAAUAGAAGAGAGGUCAAGAGCUUUUGGAUACUUAGUUGCGGCAGGGUCAGUUGGCCAAACUGUGGCUUCCAUUGUUUGCCCCCACCUGACGUGGCAAACAAGUUUCUACCUGUUCGGCACUCUGGGUAUUGUUUGGGUGUUCAUCUGGCUCGUCUUCUACAAUGAUAGCACGACACUUACCAAGGACGAAAUACCCUUGUUUGUACCAAAAGUGACGAACACAAAUGUGCGCUGGACAGAGUUCAUGUGUCACUGGCCUCUGUGGGCCGUAUACGUUGCCCACUUCGCCAUGAACUGGUCUAACUACAUCAUCAUGCAGUGGCUGCCCACCUACUUGAGCCGCAACUUGGGUGCCAACAAGGAGAGUAUCAGUCUCACCGCUGUCCCAUACAUCAUCAACAGCCUCAUCGGCAUCGUUGCUGGUCACUUUGCGGACACAUUGGUCAGCCGACGUUGGUCCGUAUUGUCAGUCCGGAGGCUAAUGACCAGCGUGGGUCUCAUUGGCCCAGGUGUUUUCCUUCUAGCUUUUUGUGCAGUUGACAACCUACUGGCAGCUGUCGUGUUUGUCUCUAUCUCGAUGGGUCUGUGCGCGUGUAACUCCGCUGGCCACCUCAGUAACCAUGCAGACAUCGCACCCAACCAUGCUGGAGUCACAUUCGCUAUAUCCAACACAUUGGCAACAAUCCCUGGUAUCUUGUGUGGACCACUUACUGCGGAAUUGGUGACGACGUCUCAUGGCCGUUGGUUCCCUGUCUUUGUGUUGGCUGCGGGAGUCAACUUCACCGCAGCUGUCAUAUACUACAGUCAGUCGUCCGCGUCUCAGGUCCUCUGAUCCCAGUAUAAAAAAAUCAUACUAGGCGUAUUUGGAAAGUAAGUACCAUUUCAUUGUACCGCCAACACAGCGCUGCGGUUGGCUUGCGCGAGGUUCGGUGGUUCUGGCGUUGAAGGCUGCCACUUUGGCCGAAGUCUGAGCCAGUCUAUCCCUGCACCAACACAACAGUUUACUGUACCUCUCACGUCACAUUGUCGCUGGGUCCUGCAUCACAUCUAACUGAAAAUGAUGAAAUCCAAGAAUCCUUGGUACUCUGUAUCAAGCAAGUCUCUAAUAUUGAAUUAAUCUCUUAAGUUAUUGUUGAUGGUUCAAUAUUUUGCCUGCUCCAACAAGUCAGCUUAAAAUUGUUUUAAAUAUUUAAAAAAAUAUAUUUAUGAUUACUAUUUAUUAUUAGACUCUCUUUUGAGAAAAAGAUAAACAAACAACCCAACAAUAUAGGUGGAGAGUUAAAGAAAACAAUAUUAUUGUUUAGUAUUUAUGGUCCAACUCGAGAAAAUGUAAGCUCCCUUAGUUUAUUUUUAAGUAGUUAACUAAUUGUAGCGGUAUUGCCAACAUCCCACUAUGGUGAUGUGUGCUUUGGUAGUCACGUUCAUAGGUUUGACUACUAUACUAAUGUGGCUGUGAAUUGUUGUUUACUCAGGUGAACCUGAGUAUAUCUUGUAAUAGAAUUGAAAUAUGUGUUCAGUAAAAAGGAAAUAAUGCAAUACAACUCAAGCAGUUGUUAUUUUACAUGACAUCUCAAGAUAUUCAUUAAAAAUAUGAGAAAUGGCUUUACUGUCAGGUUAGGAUAGAAUACUGCUAGAAAAGUGCAUAUGGCACCAUUUGUCAAUUGAAUGAUUGAUUUUAUGAACUUUUUAGUUUACAAGAGAGUAGACCUUGCAUUCAUAAGGGGUUGUAGGGCCGAAAUACUGAUCAGUGAUGGGCGAUAACUUUGUAUCUUGCACUGGGUAGGUAGCACUAGCAUACUAAAUCUUAUAUUUUUUGCCAAUUCGUAUUGACUCACCAUUUAGACAUUAUUUCCUUUAAAAUUAAAUUAAAAUUAGAUUGCAGUGUUAAACUAUCAGAGUUACACAAUACAAAAUCUUGAAGAAAAUAAGAUGGGCCCAUUUAAACCAAUACUAAAACGCUGGUCUGUAGUUUGCACACUUUUUAAAAUAAACUACAUAACAUAUAGCAAUGAAAUUUAUGUGGGUUGUUUUAUAGAUAUUUUAUAUGGUUUAAAAAAUAACUUUUAAAGACUAUUUAUUUCCUAUAUACCUACAAAAAGAUUGUUUUACUUUAAUUUUAAUUUUUAAUUAUUUUUUUCUUCCUGCAAUCAUAUUAAAAGCUUGUGUCAAACCUUAUAAAAGACUUAAUUAAACAUGUGGUCAAAAUUUCAAUGCUUUCUAUCUCUUUUGCUUCCUCAGAAAAGUUUACAAAAUCCCAUUAAAAAGGUUAUUUUUGAACAAUUGCAAAAAAAUUUAGACAAAUUAAUUAUUCACAGAAAAUGUAUUAGUUUAAGCAGUUCCUACCUUGAAAUAAUUCUGUACCUUAGGUGUGAUCAUUAAAAUUUUCUUCUUCAACUUCAAGCUUUUUCUGUCCUUUGGUUUGUGCUUUCUUUGUCAUCUCUUAUGUUUGUUUUUCUAAAAAGUAAACUUGGUCUUUGUCCAUGUUCAUAGCUCACAAUGUGUUCAACAUUUAUUCUGAGAUUUUUCAUGAUUUCACAUUUGACAAUGUAGACAUCAUUAAAAGAUGCAAUAACUUCAUAAACACCAAAAUGAAAUGUUGAUAUGCCCAUAGAGUUUUGAGAAGUCAACUCCAAAUGAUGUUAUUCAUGUUUUCAUUAGGCUUUUCAGUGUGGCCAUGCAUAUGUUUUUGAGAAGGGUUUUCUUUGGUAUAUCAUCAAAGCUUUUUAGCUUUCAUUACCUCCUGAGGUAAUUCAGUUCAACAAAGAGAACUAGAGCAUCUGCCCAGGGUGUGUUGUGACGGAAAUCUGAGCGUGCAACAUAUUUUCUAAAGCAAAUAAAACUAGUUUACAACCCCUUAUAUGCCCCUUAAAUAUAAAAUAACAUAGAAUAAUCAAAUACAGUACAAAGGUCUUAACAUUUUAAAAAUAUUUGUUUACCAUUGUCUUCUGUGUAAUGUAUUUAUAGUUACAGUUCUUUUUUGUGCUGUAGAAGAACUCAGCCUGAACACAUCAGAGCAGAAACAGGUUUUAGCAUUGGAUGAUAUAUCUUUUCAUAGAAUAUUAAAUUAUUUAACAGAAGCUGAAAUUGAAAAAAUAUCUUAAUUUGAUUUUUCUACUAUCAGCUUGCUUCAGGUACAAUAUUAUACUACUAUUGUAUUGUUAUAAUAAUAAAAUGUAUAAUUUUUUUAUAGCAGAAGGUUUUAUAUGUAAAUAUUUACUAUUUUAAAUUGUAUCAACAAAAUAUUAUUACGUUUUCGAAAUGGCAGUAUGAUCUCCUCAGACCGGUUCAUAAUAUCACAAAUAAGACAGAGUAAAUAAGUCAUGUCAAUACUGUGUGUUGUGCUAACAUCAAGAACAAGCAACAUACAUAAUAUGUGUAGUGCAAGCACUAUUAUUAUUUGUGGAUAUAGUUCUAAUGUAGGUAGAAAGAAUAAUGUAAUGAUUUGCCUCUCCUGGGAACAAGGGAGUCUGCCUUGGACUGGGGAGGUUAUUACAGAAACAUUUGGAAUGAGAAGUCUGUUUCAAGUAUAUUAUUAAUUUAAUUUUUAUAACAAUAAACCCUACCUACAAUCACUGGAAAAAGCAGACUCUGGAAUAAAAGUAAAGAAAACUGGAACAUCAAAAUGAAACAAAAUUUGUUUCCCUUAUUUUAAAUGCUUCUUAUGCAGUUUUACUGCCUUUUCCUCUCUAAUUUAAUCAUCUUUUAUUAUUGCCAAAUUAUUUCAUAUCACAAAUUAUUUUGUACAAUACUUUGAACAUAAUUUUGAUGUCCUUGUUAAGGCUAAAUGAAAAAUAAUUAUUUUUACAACUGUUGAGUUAUACAUUUUCAAUAAAUUAUAUGUUUAAGAUUAAUAUGUAAUUCUGCAGUUGACUACAUUAUAAUUAAAUAUAGUUAUAAUAGCAAAUUGUUACUAUAAGAAAGUUUAAGAGCUUAGUUUUAUAAUUUUAUCAUAUAAUCUACAUAAUAAAAACUAACAUGAAACAAAGCAAUGGACUGAAGAGAAAUAUUUUAAGUUGUUUUAACUAGUGCUGGAACUUCAAGAAGAAAGUGAUAUGCGCCUAGCAAACAAUACCUGUCCUGUAACCAAUUUUAUUUUAAAAAAGUUCUUGGUACAAAAUCAGUGUUGUCUUACUGUUCAAGAAAUAAUAAAUAAUAAAAUGAUCUUUACCAGUAUUUAAUAUUUUUUGAAAUUUAUUUGAGAUAAAUCAGAAAAAAGGUUAAAAGUGAAGUUUUGUACCGUUGGCAUACUGUUAGCAAUAUGAAAUUUUAAAUACAAAGUUGUUUUGUUUAUAAGAAAGUUUAUUUCAUAACAUAACCUGGAUUUUAAUAUAAUAGUUUUGUCUUUUGUGUUAUUACUGAUUGGGCAUACUACUGUAUUUUGAAAUAGUUACAUGAAGUACUGAAAUCAUUUAAUAAAAAUAUCUAAACACUGUGCUUAUCUGAAUUUAUAUAAGAUAAAAAAUAAGUAUAUUAACUUUAAACAUGAGAUAUUUCAAGAUUAAUUUAAAAAAUAUCUUUACAAAUUAAUCAUAAUUUAACUACAAGUACAUUUUAUGUACAAAAUUAAAAAUUCUUUGAAGAGACUGACAGAAUUCUGUUGUUCUUGUUAACUAAUGAUGUUAUCCACGCCCCCUUGACCUCAGAUUGGGUUGCUUCUUUAAAGUUAAUUCUCUAAGUUGGCAAAUUUAGAGCAAUGACAGACCUGUGGCAUCGGUUUAUCACAUCAUCAAGCAAUGUUUAAUGCAUAUGAAAUUGCAGUCAUUGUAUGAAAGUUACUAGCAAUACAGAUAGAAAAUAUUUAUCUCUCCUUUUACUGUGAAAUAUUUAGAUAAAUUUUUGUUAUACUAUGUAUUAAAUAAAUAUAUUUAUUCCUAUUGUAUCAUCCUUUCAUCAAAGAACAAUUAAUUAUACAAAAAGUAAUAAAUCCACAAUACAUAGUUAUGUAUAUCUUGGUUUGUAUUGAUUAGCUGUAUUUAUAGUAAAAUUGCAUUGUUUUUAUGGCAAUAUUUUAAUAAUGUGAGUAAUAAACAUGCUAAUGACAAUGGACCGAGUGGUUGUUUAUAACAUAAUCAAGCUCAGUCAAUGACAGAUAUGGGUUUAAGGGUUUUAUAGAGUAAUACAUAUGAAGACUUAUUACAUACAAAAAUACAAGCAAGUAAGGUGAUAGGGUACAAGUAAGUACCUUAUCACUAAUAUAUAAGCUGUACUGAUCUAUGCUUGUGAAUAGUCUCAAUACCUUACUCUUUUUUAUUGUGAAAGUUUCUGAAGAUGUUUGAAAGUUUGAUACUCAAUCACACAAAGCCUUAGCGGUCAAAUUUAGACAAGAUUGGCAUGUACAUUGUUUAGGUAUAAAAAUAAAACACAAAUAAAUAUUCUGUAUAAGUAAUUUAAAAAUAAUUUAAAUACUGAAGAAAUAGUUAAAAUUUUUGAAUGUAAAUUGAGUCACAGCAACGCAAAAUGCCACACAGUAUCACAGAAUUUUGUAUUUAAUGAACAGGCCUUGACUGUUGCGCUGUGUUACAGAUACUAAUGAUAGUAUUAUCAUCUAACUUCUACUAUAGACGACAGUUUUUCUCUUGCUAUUAAAUAUUAUUGAAAUGAAACAUUGUUUAUAAAAUUCAAUUUAAUGAACAAAAUUGUAACUGUGUGCAUGUAAGAUACUAAAAAUUGGCUUCUUUAACAUAGUGAAAAGGCAGAUCUAUGUUAGCUGCAGAAAAGAAAAAAAAGCAUAGGGAUUUGGGUCCAAAUGACACAACAAACCAUUUACUCCAUUGCUUUGUAAAUUUUUGAAAACAAGCGAACGCAUUGAGCUCGUGACUGACACAUUGCAAAUGUACGACACACUUAAAGCACGAUUUUUUUUUAUUGUAGCAAACAAACAAAAAACACACUGUCCCUGUCUUUUAUCUAGGGGACAGUGAGUUCAUUUUUACACUGAUGGGGGAUACAAUACUGAUUAGGUAUGUAAAACUAAUAUAUAAUUCCUAGUAUGAUUCAAGAAAUACGAUGAUCCGAUGAUAUUUCAAACAGACAUUAAAGCAAGGGCAUACUAUGUAUUGUAUCAGGGCUACAGAUGUUUAUACUUUAGAUAAACGAAUACCGAGAAUACAAACAAAUAUCGAUCCAGGUGACGUGAAUUGAAGUGUUUGCAAAUGUUAUUAGUAAAUAGGGAUGGUCUAAAAAGUUCUUCUGUGUGUGUGUGUGCAUGUGCUCGUGUGUGUGUGUGUGUGUGUGUGUGUGUGUGUGUGUGUGUGUGUGUGUGUGUGUGUGUGUGUGUGUGAGUACAUAUCUUGAAAACCGUUUGGUGGACAGUGUAGAGAUCUAGCACCAAUGUUGGUCUUUUAAAGAUUAAGGCAUAGCCAUAAAAUCUAGGAUUUUUACUCUAUUCCUUGUAUCAGAUGUAAAUCACAAGCACUGGAUGUAGACCAUGUUGAUAACUCAUAAUAUCAAAUAACUCAAUCGAUCUGAUCAACCUGACACUAUUAACGCAAUAUAAAUUUGUGAAACUAAAUGUUUUAAUUGGAUUCCUUUCAAAGAAAUUAACAACAUUUUAUGUAUAUCAGGGUACUAGUAAACUUUAUAAAUAUACACUUUCUUCAUUGGGAAAAUUGUUUAAAAUUUGGAAUACUUUAAAAAUAAACAUAAAAAUAAAAAAUACUUGUAUGAAAUAUCAUGAUUGGGGUAUAAACUUGUCUUCCUAAAUUUAAGUUGAUGUUACAACCGACACAUCCAUAUACUUACUAAAUAAAUAUAAUAUUAUAUACAUAUAAUAAUAUGUAAUAGAAUAUAUAUAUUCUAAAGAUAUUGUAAAGACUCGUAAUACAUUUUUUUUAAAUUAUACACCACAAUGGAGUUUCCGCUGUCUACCUUGUGAUGGUACACAAUGAAUAACUUUCAACGAAAGUAUGUGCUGGGCUAUAAACUUAUAUUCAGUUGAAUUAAAAAUAGCUGACUAUUAAUUAAUAGAAAAAUGGAUAGCAAAGUUAUGGAUAAAUAGGAAAUUUUCUUUCCCAUUUUCAAUAAUGUGGUCAUUUUAGUAAACAUUAAAUACUUUGAUCAAAGAAUCAAUCGUAUAUUACUUCCUGACAAAGCACUUUUCUAACUGAGCAUAGCAAAUUUUGUCAAGGCGUUUGUUAUGUAAUAAUUAUUUGUAAAUAAGAUUAAGAAUGUUUAUCUGGUGACUUACUUUUCAUUCACCUUUAAAUUUGGCUAUUAGUCCAUGAUAAAGUACCCAGAGUAAGUAAGUUCUGUGUUAUAAUUACAUAUUUUUAAAACUAUAUUACUUUGUAAGAAUCAUCUCCUACUAUUACCUCUGAAUUUUUGCAAACUAAAGAAGAGAAAGAUUUGAUUUGAUAAUAGCUUAGUACGUUGGAAAUGUUACAUUUGUUAAGUAAUUUUCUGAUAUUAACUGAGAUCUUCCUUUGUCUUGUAAAUAUUUUUGUUGAGCUUGUAACAAUAUGUAUAUUAAGUAGUCAACGAAUGAUCAUAGAUUCUCAGACUAAUCGAAAGAUUUAGCAAUUUCACUUGUAUAUAUUAUGGAUAGAAUUUACACAGUUUUCCAAUAGUUGUUACGUUAAACUGUAAUCAUUAUGAGACCCCUCACAUUGUAUGUCAUCUCAUCUGCAAAUUGUAAAUACCAUAUUAAUAGUCUACCAGGAGAUGAAUGGAGUGAGGAGGUCAGAUGGAGAUGAUGAACUCGGCAUUGUUGGUACCUGAUGCGACUCUUGUUGAUCAAGCCCUGUGUAUUUUGUGAAAACCAUUGAUUUGAGCACAAAAUAAAAAUUAUUUAUUAUUGUUA
Homalodisca vitripennis (glassy-winged sharpshooter) is the source of this 8403-nucleotide RNA transcript. It is a transcript of the gene named sodium-dependent phosphate transport protein 1, chloroplastic-like, with no coding region annotated. Lineage: Eukaryota; Metazoa; Arthropoda; Insecta; Hemiptera; Cicadellidae. The record is from RefSeq and is a predicted model, not a curated record. The transcript has 11 exons.